This 3185-nucleotide long non-coding RNA is filed under the name Homo sapiens (human). Its description in RNAcentral is "non-protein coding LINC01341:12". The record is from RNAcentral. Lineage: Eukaryota; Metazoa; Chordata; Mammalia; Primates; Hominidae.
UACACAUCCCAAAUGUAGGAGUCUAGGGAUAAGCUAAACAGCCAAGACUGGAGCAGUCUCUCACCUUGACCAGAAGCAGUUUUCGCAAGUGAUGCUUUGAGAAGCACGUUCUCCUCUCUCAGGGCUCUGUUAAUGUUCCUGAGCGGUUCCGUCUCCUGCUCUAGCUUGAGCAGCUUCAGAUAAAGUUCUGGUAUCUGGUUUGAUGCUGCCUACCAGAAAACAUGUCAGUUUCGUCUUUUGUUGUAUCAUCUGCAUAUCCUUUGAGACUGGCAAUGUUUGCUACCAUGGGAAAAUCAAAUGGGAUGGGAGUGUGUGUAUGGUGAGCAGAGUUUAAGCCCCUCAGGGUACACAGGAGUAAAUAAAGAAAACGUUUGUUAAGGGGGAAGGAACGUCAAGCAGCCGUCCUCAGAGAUUUUCUAGCCACCUGGGAUGCCCACUUUAGUGUCCUAUGUACACACCUGGCUUAUAUCCUUCACAGUGGAAAUUUUCUUGGUGUCUACCAGGAUGUGGCCUUCACCUGUGACCAUGAGGCCCAGCUGAGAGCAGCUCAGCUCGGUGCAGCCUUCUGUAAUGGGGAGAGACACAGUCAAAGAAAGAAACAUCCCAGUCGCCCAGCUCCAGUGUCAGCUUCAUGCAGUAGGCCAGCGACUGGAGCCAGAUGUGAGCUGAGCCCAAGCGGACGACCUCGACAGGAUCCCAGAAAGGGUCGUCAUCUCGAGCCACAGGGCCGUGAUCUCCAUCUAGAAAGCGCUGGUAAAGUUCCUGCAUUAGGAAUUUCCUAUUGAUGAACUUGGCUUUUGACCAUAUCCACACCUGGAAACACAGAGGGGUCCACACCCAGUGCACAGCAGAUCCAGGACAACAGCCUGCCGCUGUCUUCCUCCUCACUGGGUGAGGACAGGGCCUCUGUCAGCACUGGCUCUGGAGAGGAAACAAACCUGAAGCCACAGGAGGAGGGAUUCCAGAGGGAUUCCAGGAAAGCAGAGAGACACAGUGUGAAAUCGCUGCUCUCAGAUCAGCACACGGGAGAGGCCAGCAGUCAGGAGGGGGCUCACCGAGUUUGUCUGCACUCGCUCCCUCCGCAGCCGCCCUCUCCAGCUGGAAGAAGUCGUAAUCGAACCUGCUCAGGUCCUCACUGCCCCACUCCGAAGGAAACCCCACGUACAGGUGAGGUCAGAGGAGUGAAGUGACUUGCCCAAGACCACACAGUGAGUCAGGAGCAGGCCUGUCCCUCCAGCAGUGGUGCCAUGUUGUCCCCAAGCCAUGGUGGCAGAGGAGCUGGUGUGAACGCCCCAUCCUGCCACGUCUGUGAUGUGGGCACCUCACAUGACUGUCCCCUCCCAGCUCUUGGGGGGGACCUAGGACAUUCUGUGAGCCUGCAGGAAAGUUUACCAAAUGCUGCAGCUUUGUCCUGGUGGUGAUGGGCACCCCGUUAACGGCAACCUUGCAUUUGCUAUGUGGAGUGACCGUCACUUUACCGUCGGCAUUUGUGAAGGAAGCGUGUUUAUCUGAAAUUCUAAGAAGAUGAGAGUCAAAGACACCCAGCAAACGGCGGUUUCCGUGAGCAGGUAGGCUGACCUUUCUCAUGUGCACAGGAGGGAAGGUCUACAGCUGCGGAGGAUGGCAGGUGGCAUCUCGGGGCCUCCUGUGUGCUGUGGCCCAUGAUGCAUGGGGACAGCAGCGGGCGCAGAAGGACCCUGCCCUUGGGGAGCACGGGGAGCUGGGAGACAGCAGGCAAGGGCUUCAUUAACAGAACGAACACCAGCUGAGGGCCUAGCACUGCGGGGAGCCGGCCAAGGCCACACUGGAGUCCUCCCGCUCCCAGGCCAGCGGGAUGGGGUGGUGGGAAGAUGGCAGCAAGCAAGCUUCAGAAGAGACGCUCAGGAGGCGACUCUUAACGAGCCUCACCUACUCCGGGUACGUUUUGAUCUGUUUCUGCGCCCUCGCCGUAUAAAUUCAGACCUUAUAGGAUUUGGGGCUGGACGUCGGGGUGUCAGGUUGGCAUCCCCUCUCCCCGCCCUGCUCCCCUGCACCGAUGUCAUCUGUGUGUCCUGAAUGACUGGCUCCCUGCCUUAGCAUGUUCCAUGUUCCUGCACUCCUUGGCCAUCAUGGAAUGUUCUGGAUGUGGAGACCCGUGUGCAUCCAAACCCUUUUUUGCAUGGGGCCCAGGGAUCCUGUGGGAAAGGUUGCGGCCUCAUCACUGGAGUUCAGACAUUUACGCACCUGUGCGUUGGACUAAGGACGUGUUCUGGAAAGGGACUUGAGGGGGAUCCCCAGGAAGAUGUCCCAAGAAGGAGGCUGGCAGUGCAGGACGAGGCGGGGCCAGCCGGCCCCUGGGUCAGCACCCCUCCAGCCACGACGGCCCGUGGGCUUUCGUACGGGGGCAGGGGGUGAUCUGUCUGAAGGAUGUAGGUGAUGGUGCUUCCCAGCUGGAGAGCUGGAAGCAGGAGGAGGACACUCCAGCAGCAGCCUCCCAGGCAGGGCAGCCACAGAGCUGGGGACAGCUCUUGACUGGGUGAGGCCCGGCAUGGGGUUUCCCAGGGCUCCUGCGGGGCCUCCUGAGGGAGCCCUUGGGGUCACUCCACAGUCUGGGCUUUCUGUAGUCCGGUGGGUCAGGGCUCCAAGCACCAGGAGAGAUCCAGGGAUGCGCUUAUGUUUGGGCCACCCCCGGUGGGCUUGUUCGUUCAGCCCCCUUCGUUUCCUGGCCUGCUCUACUUAUAUCUGUUUGUGAAGAAUUAUUACACAGAAUCUAGAAACCAGCUUUCCCUUUUCUCCCAGGGUUGGAGCCCAGGAAGCAAACCAGCACUGCACCCUAGAUUUCAGCCAGAGGACGAAAGCCCUGCCCUCAGCUUUCUCAGACCAGCCCUGGAGUAGGUGGCCCGGGGAGACCUGGGCAGUGUCCCUGCUUGUCCUGCAGACUGUGUGGCUCUGCAGACCUCUAGAUGGAGGAGGCACAAUUCUCUAAUGCUGGACGAGGACACUGAUCAUGGAAACUCACCCCAAACCUUGAAUCGUGAUAGCAUUUGAGGCAGCCUGACCGGUGCCACAUGAACCUGAAAGGAAUCAAGAUAUAAUUUAUUUUGAAAAUAAAUCAGACACUUUCAGAAUUUGAGCGUAAGAAGUUAACAUGUCUGAUGCGUUGGAAGUGACGUUUUCUCUACAGUGGGAUGGUACUGAAGGGAUUU